CUCUAAGCAGCCGUGCAAGGCGUCCUGAAAGGCUUCACCGCCGGAGGGACAUGGGAAUGAGGUGGGCGUUCGCGCCUGAAGCCUCAGCCGCCCCCGCGACUGUAAGCGGAUAGCGAGAGGCGCAUGGUGAACCCCGGUUCGCCAGCCACUGGAGCCCCAAAGCUCCGGGAAGGUGCGCCCCAAGCGAUGACCCGCAAGCCAGGAGACCGGCCCUGCAUUCGCGCCAUUC
RNAcentral lists this non-coding RNA (229 nucleotides) under Novosphingobium barchaimii. The record is from RNAcentral. Lineage: Bacteria; Pseudomonadati; Pseudomonadota; Alphaproteobacteria; Sphingomonadales; Sphingomonadaceae.